UAGGGGAACUGAGAGGUUUAUCCCCCCACACUGGUACUGAGACACGGACCAGACUCCUACGGGAGGCAGCAGUGAGGAAUAUUGGUCAAUGGGCGAGAGCCUGAACCAGCCAAGUCGCGUGAAGGACGACGGUAUUAUGUAUUGUAAACUUCUUUUAUAAGGGAAUAAAGCUAGGGACGUGUCCUUAUUUGUAUGUACCUUAUGAAUAAGCAUCGGCUAACUCCGUGCCAGCAGCCGCGGUAAUACGGAGGAUGCGAGCGUUAUCCGGAUUUAUUGGGUUUAAAGGGUGCGUAGGCGGAUUAAUAAGUCAGCGGUGAAAUCUUGGAGCUCAACUCCGAAACUGCCGUUGAAACUGUUAAUCUUGAGUGUGAACGAGGUAGGCGGAAUUCGUGGUGUAGCGGUGAAAUGCAUAGAUAUCACGAAGAACUCCGAUAGCGCAGGCAGCUUACCAGAUCACAACUGACGCUGAAGCACGAAAGUGUGGGUAUCAAACAGGAUUAGAUACCCUGGUAGUCCACACAGUAAACGAUGAAUACUCACUGUUUGCGAUAUACAGCAAGCGGUCAAGCGAAAGCGUUAAGUAUUCCACCUGGGGAGUACGCCGGCAACGGUAAAACUCAAAGGAAUUGACGGGGGCCCGCCUGCAGACAUGUGGUUUAAUUCGAUGCAACGCG
This 674-nucleotide ribosomal RNA is filed under the name uncultured bacterium. RNAcentral's name for it is "bacterial SSU rRNA". It matches the Rfam family "Bacterial small subunit ribosomal RNA", at positions 284 to 963 of the family's 1533-position model. The record is from RNAcentral.